UACAGAGGGUGCGAGCGUUGUCCGGAAUCACUGGGCGUAAAGGGCGCGUAGGUGGCUGGGUAAGUGUGCGGUGAAAGUCCGGGGCUCAACCCCGGAUCGGCCGUGCAGACUGCUUGGCUUGAGCAUAGUAGAGGCAGGUGGAAUUCCGGGUGUAGCGGUGGAAUGCGUAGAGAUCCGGAAGAACACCGGUGGCGAAGGCGGCCUGCUGGGCUAUUGCUGACACUGAGGCGCGACAGCGUGGGGAGCAAACAGG
Molecule: ribosomal RNA, 253 nt
Filed under: uncultured bacterium
Lineage: Bacteria
Description: partial 16S ribosomal RNA
Rfam family: Bacterial small subunit ribosomal RNA
Source: RNAcentral